GAUGAACGCUGGCGGCGUGCCUAACACAUGCAAGUCGAGCGGAGCUAUACGCUGGACGAGGUGCUUGCACCGAGUCCUUGUGUAGUUUAGCGGCGGACGGGUGAGUAACGCGUGGAUAAUCUGCCCGACACAUUGGGAUAACACUUAGAAAUAGGUGCUAAUACCGAAUAAGCACACACUAUCGCAUGGUAGAGAGUGAAAAGAUUUAUCGGUGUCGGAGGAGUCCGCGUUAGAUUAGUUAGUUGGUGGGGUAAAGGCCUACCAAGACUGCGAUCUAUAGCCGAACUUAGAGGUUGAUCGGCCACACUGGGACUGAGACACGGCCCAGACUCCUACGGGAGGCAGCAGUGAGGGAUAUUGCACAAUGGACGAAAGUCUGAUGCAGCAACGCCGCGUGAAUGAAGAAGGCCUUCGGGUCGUAAAGUUCUAUCGAUGGGGACGAAAAAAAUGACGGUACCCAAGUAAGAAGCCCCGGCUAACUACGUGCCAGCAGCCGCGGUAAAACGUAGGGGGCAAGCGUUAUCCGGAAUUACUGGGUGUAAAGGGUGAGUAGCCGGCUAUGUAAGUCACAUGUGAAAUCCCACAGCUCAACUGUGGAACUGCAUGAGAAACUGCGUAGCUAGAGUAUGGGAGAGGUAAGUGGAAUUCCUUGUGUAGCGGUGAAAUGCGUAGAUAUAAGGAGGAACACCAGUGGCGAAGGCGGCUUACUGGACCAAAACUGACGGUGAGUCACGAAAGCGUGG
RNAcentral lists this ribosomal RNA (743 nucleotides) under uncultured bacterium. Its description in RNAcentral is "bacterial SSU rRNA". It matches the Rfam family "Bacterial small subunit ribosomal RNA", at positions 28 to 764 of the family's 1533-position model. The record is from RNAcentral.